GCCCGCUUGGCCAAGCGGUAAGGCGUCGCACUUGUAAUGCGAAGAUCGCUCGUUCGAUUCGGGUAGUGGGCA
Molecule: non-coding RNA, 72 nt
Organism: Clathrospora elynae
Lineage: Eukaryota; Fungi; Ascomycota; Dothideomycetes; Pleosporales; Diademaceae
Source: the annotation of a GenBank genome assembly